RNAcentral lists this non-coding RNA (94 nucleotides) under human gut metagenome. RNAcentral describes it as "Glycine riboswitch". The stretch from base 6 to 88 matches the Rfam family "Glycine riboswitch aptamer", at positions 9 to 86 of the family's 94-position model. From Rfam's summary of the family: This family represents the bacterial glycine riboswitch. Glycine riboswitches usually consist of two metabolite-binding aptamers domains with similar structures in tandem. The record is from RNAcentral.
CGGGACUCUGGAGAGAUCCGAGCGCAUCGGACGCCGAAGGUGAAAUACAGCAGAAUUGCUGGCAAAGCUCUCAGGCAAAAGGACAGAGACAAAA